UACAGAGGUGGCAAGCGUUGUUCGGAAUUACUGGGCGUAAAGGGCGAGUAGGCGGCCUUCUAAGUCAGACGUGAAAUCCCCCGGCUUAACCUGGGAACUGCGUCUGAUACUGGGAGGCUUGAGUAUGGGAGAGGGAUGUAGAAUUCCAGGUGUAGCGGUGAAAUGCGUAGAUAUCUGGAGGAAUACCGGUGGCGAAGGCGGCGUUCUGGACCAUUACUGACACUGAAUCGCGAAAGCUAGGGGAGCAAACGGG
RNAcentral lists this ribosomal RNA (253 nucleotides) under uncultured bacterium. RNAcentral's name for it is "partial 16S ribosomal RNA". It matches the Rfam family "Bacterial small subunit ribosomal RNA", at positions 524 to 776 of the family's 1533-position model. The record is from RNAcentral.